CCUACGGGAGGCAGCAGUGAGGAAUAUUGGUCAAUGGGCGCGAGCCUGAACCAGCCAAGUCGCGUGAGGGAAGACGGCCCUACGGGUUGUAAACCUCUUUUGCCGGGGAGCAACGGGCGCCACGUGUGGCGCCACUGAGAGUACCCGGAGAAAAAGCAUCGGCUAACUCCGUGCCAGCAGCCGCGGGAAUACGGGGGAUGCGAGUGCUAUCCGUAUUUAUUGGGUUUAAGGGGUGCGUAGUCGGGGCGUUAAGUCAGGGGUAAAAUUGAGGGGCUCAACCCCUUCCCGCCAUUGAAACUGGCGCUCUUGAGUGGAAGAGAAGUAUGCGGAAUGCGUGGUGUAGCGGUGAAAUGCAUAGAUAUCACGCAGAACCCCGAUUGCGAAGGCAGCAUGCCGGCUUCCGACUGACGCUGAAGCACGAAAGCGUGGGGAUCGAACAGGAUUAGAUACCCCAGUAGUC
RNAcentral lists this ribosomal RNA (460 nucleotides) under uncultured bacterium. Its description in RNAcentral is "partial 16S ribosomal RNA". It matches the Rfam family "Bacterial small subunit ribosomal RNA", at positions 338 to 795 of the family's 1533-position model. The record is from RNAcentral.